GGGUAGAAGGAGCUUGCUCCUUUGAGACCGGCGCACGGGUGCGUAACGCGUAUGCAAUCUACCUUGUACAGGGGAAUAGCCCAGAGAAAUUUGGAUUAAUGCCCCAUAGUAUAUAACCUUCGCAUGUUGGUUAUAUUAAAGUUCCAACGGUACAAGAUGAGCAUGCGUCCCAUUAGUUAGUUGGUAAGGUAACGGCUUACCAAGACGAUGAUGGGUAGGGGUCCUGAGAGGGAGAUCCCCCACACUGGUACUGAGACACGGACCAGACUCCUACGGGAGGCAGCAGUGAGGAAUAUUGGUCAAUGGUCGCAAGACUGAACCAGCCAUGCCGCGUGCAGGAAGACGGUCCUAUGGAUUGUAAACUGCUUUUAUACAGGAAGAAACCCUCCCACGUGUGGGAGCUUGACGGUACUGUAGGAAUAAGGAUCGGCUAACUCCGUGCCAGCAGCCGCGGUAAUACGGAGGAUCCAAGCGUUAUCCGGAAUCAUUGGGUUUAAAGGGUCCGUAGGCGGCCUUAUAAGUCAGUGGUGAAAGCCCAUCGCUCAACGAUGGAACUGCCAUUGAUACUGUAAGGCUUGAAUUAUUGUGAAGUAACUAGAAUAUGUAGUGUAGCGGUGAAAUGCUUAGAUAUUACAUGGAAUACCAAUUGCGAA
RNAcentral lists this ribosomal RNA (653 nucleotides) under Flavobacterium sasangense. RNAcentral describes it as "bacterial SSU rRNA". It matches the Rfam family "Bacterial small subunit ribosomal RNA", at positions 66 to 719 of the family's 1533-position model. The record is from RNAcentral. Lineage: Bacteria; Pseudomonadati; Bacteroidota; Flavobacteriia; Flavobacteriales; Flavobacteriaceae.